AUAGAUACCCCGGUAGUCCAUGCCGUAAACGUUGGGCACUAGGUGUGGGGCUCAUUCCACGAGUUCCGUGCCGCAGCAAACGCAUUAAGUGCCCCGCCUGGGGAGUACGGCCGCAAGGCUAAAACUCAAAGGAAUUGACGGGGGCCCGCACAAGCGGCAGAGCAUGCGGAUUAAUUCGAUGCAACGCGAAGAACCUUACCAAGGCUUGACAUGCACGGGAAGCCACCAGAGAUGGUGGUCUCUUUGGACACUCGUGCACAGGUGGUGCAUGGUUGUCGUCAGCUCGUGUCGUGAGAUGUUGGGUUAAGUCCCGCAACGAGCGCAACCCUCGUCCCAUGUUGCCAGCGGGUUAUGCCGGGGACUCAUGGGAGACUGCCGGGGUCAACUCGGAGGAAGUGGGGAUGACGUCAAAUCAUCAUGCCCCUUAUGUCUUGGGCUUCACGCAUGCUACAAUGGCCGGUACAAAGGGCUGCGAUACCGUAAGGUGGAGCGAAUCCCAAAAAGCCGGUCUCAGUUCGGAUUGGGGU
Molecule: ribosomal RNA, 527 nt
Filed under: uncultured bacterium
Lineage: Bacteria
Description: bacterial SSU rRNA
Rfam family: Bacterial small subunit ribosomal RNA
Source: RNAcentral